CCAUCAGUGGUUCAGUGGUCGAAUACUCGCCUACCAUGAGGGCCGCCCGUGUUCGAUAUCCUGUCGAUGCA
Non-coding RNA from Teladorsagia circumcincta, 71 nucleotides. NCBI's taxonomy places the organism in Eukaryota, Metazoa, Nematoda, Chromadorea, Rhabditida, Trichostrongylidae. The record is from the annotation of a GenBank genome assembly.